UCACCAAAUUUAAGAUUUACUGCUGUAAGUAUUUCUUGCACCUAAUACAAAUAAAAGGCUGAGGUUUGGUGUUGCGUUUCAUUGCUGAAGUGCAUCUAGAGGUGUUUCUGCAUCUAUGUUCUUUUUCUCCAUGGUAAUUCAGGCAUAGCUACACUCUAGAACUGAGCCAUUAUAGUAUUAUUGGCCUAUUGGGGCAAAUAUUGUAAGUCCAUCUUGCUUCAUUUAGGCUUACUUUAUUCUUUAUCUUUAGUAGUUGCAAGCUAUAAUGCCCGCCCAAUGCUG
RNAcentral lists this unclassified non-coding RNA (282 nucleotides) under Hevea brasiliensis (rubber tree). The record is from RNAcentral. Lineage: Eukaryota; Viridiplantae; Streptophyta; Magnoliopsida; Malpighiales; Euphorbiaceae.